Molecule: ribosomal RNA, 534 nt
Filed under: uncultured Thermoplasmatales archaeon
Lineage: Archaea; Methanobacteriati; Thermoplasmatota; Thermoplasmata; Thermoplasmatales
Description: bacterial SSU rRNA
Rfam family: Archaeal small subunit ribosomal RNA
Source: RNAcentral
GCGCGAAAACUUCGCAAUGUGCGAAAGCACGACGAGGGAAUCCCAAGUGCUGGCUCGUUAGAGUCAGCUGUUUUUAUGUCUAAAAAGCAUAGAGAGUAAGGGCUGGGUAAGACGGGUGCCAGCCGCCGCGGUAAUACCUGCAGCUCAAGUGGUGACCGCUAUUAUUGGGCCUAAAACGUCCGUAGCCUGUUUAUUAAAUGCCUAGGUAAAUUGUAUGGCUUAACCAUGCGAAUUCUGGGUAGACUGGUAAACUUGAGAUCGGGAGAAGCUAGAGGUACUCCUGGGGUAGAGGUGAAAUUCUGUAAUCCUAGGGGGACCACCAGUGGCGAAGGCGUCUAGCUAGAACGAGUUUGACGGUGAGGGACGAAGCCCUGGGGCGCAAACGGGAUUAGAUACCCCGGUAGUCCAGGGUGUAAACGCUGCUUGCUUGAUGUUGGUUGGGCUCCGAGCCCAAUCAGUGUCGGAGAGAAGUUGUUAAGCAAGCUGCCUGGGAAGUACGAUCGCAAGACUGAAACUUAAAGGAAUUGGCGGGGG